AAGGAUUCCCCUAGUACGGGCGACGGAAGCGGGAAAAGCCCACAUUGGUAAUCUGCUGCCGUUAGGUAGUCGAAUUGUAAUCUGAAGACGGUUAGCUUACCUGGACUAUCGCCGAAGUAUGCACGAGCGCAUCGCCAAAGAGGGUGAGAGCCCCGUAAGGUGAGAAGUCCUACAAAAGCUGGUUGUCCAAGAGUCGUGUACUUUGAUACUAGUGCACCAAGCGGGAGAUAAACUUCUUCUAAGGCUAAAUAUAAGUAGGAAACCGAUAGCGAACAAGUACUGUGAAGGAAAGAUGAAAAGCACUUUGGAAAGAAAGUUAAAAGACUUGAAAUCGUUGAGGCGGACCCGGUAGAAAUGUAUUCUAGCGAAACACUCUGGGAAGUCUCUAAGGGGGCCACUUGAGUGUUAGCCGAGACAAGAUGGAGUCGCACAAUGCCAGAUACCGUGUGUUAGUGGUUUCGGCUAAGAGCAUGCUGGUCGGGUGUUGAGCGGCUUGAGGGGCCUUGAGCGAUCUUGUCAAAAUGGUUUUUACCGACUCGUCUUGAAACACGAACCAAGGAGUCUAAGACUAACGCGAGUAUGGUGGUGGAGAAACCAACAUGCGAAAUGAAAGUAAAUGAUGCCAAGCACCCUGCAGCAUCGACCGACUUUUUUCACUUGGAAGAGGUUUGAGUAAGAGCGUUAUUCUUAGGA
RNAcentral lists this ribosomal RNA (693 nucleotides) under Tintinnopsis lata. Its description in RNAcentral is "LSU rRNA". It matches the Rfam family "Eukaryotic large subunit ribosomal RNA", at positions 70 to 814 of the family's 3401-position model. The record is from RNAcentral. Lineage: Eukaryota; Ciliophora; Spirotrichea; Tintinnida; Codonellidae.